Paramisgurnus dabryanus is the source of this 706-nucleotide long non-coding RNA. RefSeq lists it as uncharacterized. Lineage: Eukaryota; Metazoa; Chordata; Actinopteri; Cypriniformes; Cobitidae. The record is from RefSeq and is a predicted model, not a curated record.
GAAGUCUUUCUAGAUAAAUUUGAGUAGAAAAUCGAUUUUUAUAAUUUAUCUGACAAGGAGAAUUCGGACAUAAGAAAUGAACUCUGCUCAGUUUAAUGAACUUACUUAAACAGUAAUAUUUCGUUUAGCAAAACAAACAAAUAAUAUUUCGCAACUCAUAAAACUGGUCUGAGGAUUUGCCUCAGCAGUCUAUGCAGCAGGCGGGAGUAACUGAGGGAUCGUGAAGCUAUUCUGCUAAACACUCGUAGCCACCUCAGCCAGUUCCGCUAUUAUACAGCUGACUGAGAUUUCUCAAGAUCAUCAGUUUGGACAGAAUUCAUUUGAAGAAUUAAUAGCACUAGCAGGUUCCAAUAAAGGCUGGAACAGAACAGACAGAAAAGAAUCUGUCAGAAGAAAUUCAACUACUGUUCGUGCACCAGAUGGUGAAGUAGAAAAGUUCGUAAAAACUUCUGCAGCUUGCAUCUGACAGAGAUGCAAAAAGAAUAAGAGAGCGGGCCUGAAAACAAGCAAAUUCAAGUCUUUCCUUCUUUUAGGGUACACUUGAGGAGUGUCCAGAUGUUUAUUAAUGUUUUAUUAAUGUAAUGUUAUGUUUCAAAUAAACAUGUAAACAUACUGUAUAUUUUUCUUUCUUUUUUAAACACCUACAGUAAAGUGUGACACUUAACACAUUAAAAGCAUCACAAACAUUGAGGAUAGAACUUCUAAU